CAUUCGAAAUUUGGCCUUUGAAGAUGCCAAGAGGCUAGCCUUUACUUUCCCCCCAUUUUCAUCCUGAAGACGCAUGUGCCGUGCUCAAAUUAAUCACACACAGAAUAUACGUGAUGCUCUUGAACUUGUAGGUGUGCAAAGAGACAGGUAAAAGGACAUUAGAAAUUUGGCUUAUGAAGAUGCCAAGAGGUUAGUCUUGCCCUUUACCAUGUACACCAUUACCUAAGUACCAAUGUGGAGCUCAAAUUAAGCACCCGCUGUAUAUGUGAUGCUCUUUAAUUUACAGGUGUCCGAAGAUGCCAAGAGUUAGCCCGUUCCCUUUUCUCCAUUUUCAACAAGGAAACAGAAGUGCCAAUACUGAGCUCAGAUUACCACACAUAGAAUAUAAGUGAUGCUCUUUAAUUUGCAGGUGUGCAAACAGACAGGUAGAAGAACAUUCGAAGCUGUGCCUUUGAAGAUGCCAAGAGGUGUUAGCCGCUCUCUUUUCUUCAUUUUCAGCCUGGAAACAAAGCUGCCCAUACUGAGCUCAAAUUAAGCAAACACACUAUAUAAGUGACGUUGUUUAAUUUGUAGGGACAGGUAGACGAACAUUGGCCUUUGAAGACGCUUUCCUUCAUUUUGAGCCAGAAAAUAGGAAAUAAAAAUACUCAUAUCGAGUUCAAAUUAGGUACACUAACUCAAGCGAUCCUUUUCUCUAUUUUCAGUCAGAAAACAAGUGUCCAUACUGAGCUGAUAUUAAGUACGCACACACUAUAAUUGAAGCUCUUUAAUUUGCAGGUGUGCAAAGGGACAGGUAGAAGAACAUUGGAAAUUUGGCCUUUGAAGACGCCAAGAGGUGGAAAGAGACAAGGGGAAGAACCUUCGAAACGUGGCCUUUGAAGAUGAGGUCAGAAAGAGGGCGAGGUGCGGACAGAGCGACGUAGGUGAACCCUCGAAAUUUGGCUUUUGCAAAUGCAAAGAGAAAUCAAGAUCAAAUAUUCACAGAUAUUUCCCCAAUGAUGGUUUCUGUUUGGCAGGCUGAAUUGGGAAG
Ornithodoros turicata is the source of this 1030-nucleotide long non-coding RNA. RefSeq lists it as uncharacterized. The record is from RefSeq and is a predicted model, not a curated record. The transcript is spliced from 4 exons. Lineage: Eukaryota; Metazoa; Arthropoda; Arachnida; Ixodida; Argasidae.